RNAcentral lists this ribosomal RNA (305 nucleotides) under Bacteroidales bacterium. RNAcentral describes it as "partial 16S ribosomal RNA". It matches the Rfam family "Bacterial small subunit ribosomal RNA", at positions 1 to 295 of the family's 1533-position model. Lineage: Bacteria; Pseudomonadati; Bacteroidota; Bacteroidia; Bacteroidales. The record is from RNAcentral.
AACAGCGGAGAGUUUGAUCCUGGCUCAGGAUGAACGCUAGCGGCAGGCUUAACACAUGCAAGUCGAGCGGCAGCGGGGUAGGAGCUUGCUCCUACCGCCGGCGAGCGGCGCACGGGUGAGUAACACGUAUGCAACCUGCCCUUGUCAGGGGGACAACCCGCCGAAAGGCGGGCUAAACCCGCGUAAAUUCCCCGGGGGCAUCCCCGGGGGAGGAAAGACGAAAGUCGGACAAGGAUGGGCAUGCGGCGCAUUAGCUGGUUGGCGGGGUAACGGCCCACCAAGGCGACGAUGCGUAGGGGUUCUGA